AUAAAGUGCAGCCUUUAAUGCGUGGUUGAGUUGAGAUGGUGGCAAUUAUCUUGACAGAAGCUCUAUUUGGAGCUUCACUUUGUACUGAUUUCAAUGGAGUUUUUGGUUCAAAUUACCUCCGUUGCCCUUGUUUUUCAUCAGGAUUUUCAAUUUCCGAGACACCCACUUUAGAAAUUUCUCUGGGAAAGAAAAAGGUUAAGAAGCAGAAGAGGAAUGCGGGUUCCAUUGUAGUUUCUUG
RNAcentral lists this unclassified non-coding RNA (238 nucleotides) under Hevea brasiliensis (rubber tree). The record is from RNAcentral. Lineage: Eukaryota; Viridiplantae; Streptophyta; Magnoliopsida; Malpighiales; Euphorbiaceae.